Small nucleolar RNA from Pistacia vera, 107 nucleotides. The record is from RefSeq and is a predicted model, not a curated record. Lineage: Eukaryota; Viridiplantae; Streptophyta; Magnoliopsida; Sapindales; Anacardiaceae.
AACCCAUGGUGUGGACACUUUCUCAACAAUUCUUUAUAUCUCUCCCAUGCUUCAUAAAGUGACUCGUUCUCUUCCUGGAGAAAUGAUGUGAUAUCAUUUCUCAUCUU